This is a long non-coding RNA of Urocitellus parryii (Arctic ground squirrel), 346 nucleotides long. RefSeq lists it as uncharacterized. Lineage: Eukaryota; Metazoa; Chordata; Mammalia; Rodentia; Sciuridae. The record is from RefSeq and is a predicted model, not a curated record.
UUUGGAGUGGUGAGUCUUCUUCUGGACUGGUCAGGCCAAGGAACAGCUGCCCAGGGGUUCUGUCCUUCUCCUAAGCCAAGCCAUAGUACAGGCCCAGUAUCAACAAAGCCAAGUGACAAUGGAUUAAAACUAUGAAAUUGGCCAAGAAGAUCUGGUUCCCAGAGGGGAAAACUCUGUUCUCUGUCCAAGAGAGCCAGAACUCCUGAAUUCCAGUGUCCUGGACCUCAGGCUACUUCUUCUGAGUGUGGGAGAAUAAAUAUCAUGAAAGCAAGGAUACUCUGUCUCAUUCAGACCUAGAGCAUUGAAGUUGGCCAACCACGAAAUGAACCUCUGAAACCGUGAGCCC